GUCCUCCCUGUUGGUAGGAUAAAUUCUCAGUCAUAACAGGACAUACCAUUUCAACUCAUCUUUAUGGUGCAGAGAAUACUUUACUUGGAUCCUACUGGAUUAGAAAUCAUUGACAGAAUUUAAUUGAAAAAUGCUUUUUGGCCUGAGAGGACACGUCAGGGGCCUGGUGCAAGUGAAGCUGGCCCGACAAGAUCACAGAUCGAAUUUACACUGGAAACCAGCUAAGGAUAAGAUUGGACCAGGGCAAACAGUGUUCGCCAUGUCUGUCUUUGCAUUUGCUCUUCUGGUCCCAGCGGGUUGGAUCAUGCAUCAUAUCCCAGUUUAUCGGCAAAGACCACCUCCACAAGUCUGACCUCACAGUCAAUCUGCAUCUGAUCAGUUCUGCAACUGUACUGCUCACUGAAAUGAACAAAUCUAAAUGUGUUGGUAAUGUGCUGUUUUGCAAUCCUCUUUUCCAAAAAGAAUGUGAAUGUAAUGUAAUGAAUGAUUAGUUAAAAUGAAAUUCCAGAUUUUUCAAAAAAUUCCUCCAGAUUUCAGUCAUUGAGAUUCAGAAUGGAUUUAUGUGAAAUGGUUCAUUGUGAAACUUAAAACUUAAAACUCCAUGGAGUAAUAAGCAAUUUAACUGGUUUAAUCCAACUUAAAUUAAUGCUUUGACUGAAACAAUGCAAAGCAAAAUAUAUAAGUUAAACGAACACAAGCACUAUUUUACAUCAGUUCAAACCUUAAAAACACUUCAAAUCACUUUUUCCAUGUUCCACUUUGUAAUGUGUAACAUUCAUGCUGUUCAUCAAAAUAAAUGACAUAACCUGAA
Pygocentrus nattereri (red-bellied piranha) is the source of this 811-nucleotide long non-coding RNA. RefSeq lists it as uncharacterized. The transcript is spliced from 2 exons. Lineage: Eukaryota; Metazoa; Chordata; Actinopteri; Characiformes; Serrasalmidae. The record is from RefSeq and is a predicted model, not a curated record.